UGAGAGGCCAUACCUUAGUGGUAGAGUGUUUGCUCUGCAUGCAGAAAAUCUCAUGUUCAAUCCCUGGCCUCUCCA
Molecule: non-coding RNA, 75 nt
Organism: Podarcis lilfordi (Lilford's wall lizard)
Lineage: Eukaryota; Metazoa; Chordata; Lepidosauria; Squamata; Lacertidae
Source: the annotation of a GenBank genome assembly